CUUUUCUUACUUAUUUUAGUAAUUAAAUAAAAAUUAAAUAGUAGGUGAAUAUAUACAUGGAUUACAAAGUAUUUUACGAACUAUAGCAUAUUUUCGACAAGAUGGCUGGUGAAUAUCACGAUCCUCUUCUCCAUUAUGACUUAAACCACAACAGCGUAAUACAUUUCGUAAUGUAUCGAUUACAAAUGAAUCGUAGAAAUACAGAAAAUUACUGGCGUUGCAAGCAGUAAUUUCGACUAGUUGAAGUGAAAAUUAGCGAAGACAUUAUCGUGUUGGUUUUCGCGAACGGUAUAGAUAAACUUAAAGUUUCGUCGAUUUCGAACUUUUUAAAUGUGUCGUGAAUAAAACAAUUAUUGACUGAACAGUCGACUCGACUCGAUACGUUUGUCGUAUUCGUUAAGGUGUAUUGUUUUGUUUCGUUUCGUCUACGACCCGCGGACCUUGAGACCUAACGAAGACCAUGUUGCGCCGCACCUUUGCCCUGACCUGGCUGCUGCUUUUCGGCGGAUUUAUC
Molecule: long non-coding RNA, 514 nt
Organism: Agrilus planipennis (emerald ash borer)
Lineage: Eukaryota; Metazoa; Arthropoda; Insecta; Coleoptera; Buprestidae
Exons: 3
Source: RefSeq, a predicted model, not a curated record